RNAcentral lists this ribosomal RNA (381 nucleotides) under Triticum aestivum (bread wheat). RNAcentral's name for it is "partial small subunit ribosomal RNA". Lineage: Eukaryota; Viridiplantae; Streptophyta; Magnoliopsida; Poales; Poaceae. The record is from RNAcentral.
AUGAUCAGAAAGUUUUCGUGGGGACGCAAAUAUGGAAGAAUGAAGGUAGCGUGGGUACCUUGGGAUGUGAUGACCAGGCCAAAAACUAUGGGAGGCGCGGGGUUUAGAGAUCUGGAGCUUGUCAACCUUUCCCUCCUUGCACGCCAACCUUGCAAAUUAAUGAUUGAUCCAUCAUCCUUGAGUGCGAGGAUUCUUAAAGUUGUGUACUUCCUAAACACCUUGAUCCUUGAAGCUACUAUCGGUCCACAUCCUUCAUAGAUUUGGCGGUCAGUCCUUGAGGGUGGAGAUGUUCUAUGGCAUGGUCUUAUAGGGAGAAUGGGGGAUAGAGCAUCGACAGAAAUCGGGAACCAUAGUUGGCUUCCCAGGGAAGGAUCUAUGUGA